Odocoileus virginianus texanus is the source of this 1641-nucleotide non-coding RNA. The record is from RefSeq and is a predicted model, not a curated record. Lineage: Eukaryota; Metazoa; Chordata; Mammalia; Artiodactyla; Cervidae.
AGAGGCAGGCGCCCACACAGGCUUCAGAAGAGGCCCUUUCUGCUUCCGUUUUAUUUGUUUUUAGGAAAGGACAUUACCUUGGGGAACCACAUUUCUAGGCUUCCUCCAGGAGUCAUCCCAAUGCGGUCUGCCUGUUGUUUGACUCUCCGGACGUCACUGACCCCAUCCUUAAGGAUUUUUGCUUCCUGUCCUGGCACCUUUGAGCUCUGCUUGUCUGGAGGUCUCAGCUCCAGGGGCCACAGCAGUGGUCCCACUUACGAGCUGGAAGAUUGAGCCUUCCAUCUGAGUCUUACGUCUUAUAACAGCAAAGGGCAUCAUGGAUCUUGGUUAACAAGGGGAAGUGUGGCUUCUGCAGCACAGUGAAGGCAGAGAGGGCAGCUGUGAUCUGAAGCAGUGUGCUUUUCAGUGAAGGGACAGAGGACACUGACCUACCUGGAUAAUGCGGUCUCCUUCUCGGAUGCGCCCGUCCUUGGCCGCGAUGCUGUUAGGGUCAAUCUGAAACACACGGCACCAAAGAAAUAAGACUCCAGUGUUGUGCCAGGAGACACAAACAUGGACUGAUACGUUUCCAAGCCCCUUGCAGGCCAUGGUCCUGGACUCUUGCCCCACAACCCUGCUGACCCUGCCCACCUGAGGGGAUGCAGAGGCACAGCUAACAGCUGUUCCACCCAGAAAGGAAAAGCAAAAGUAUGCUGGCCUACAGGGUGAAGAGUGACUGAGACAAGACGGCUGAGCUCUCGGCACAUCGCCUGGCCCAGAGAAGGUCUACAGAAAACAAUACUGUGGGAUAGCCCGUUUGCACGCCGCCCACAUAGUGGGCUCACAGCAUCCUCACGUUUCAGCCGCAUGCCCAAGUCUCCACCUCAGGUCACACUUCAUCGGGCGACAGACAAAGGGAAGACUUGCUCCGUUUCAGCGCUUCCUAACAGAUUUGUUACUUUUAUAACCAGAAAGAAGACUUUUUCAGAGCAAAUUCCCAAAGACAAGUGCACCCCGAUGUUCACUGGAGCACUAUCUACAACAGCCAAGACGUGGAAGCCACCAACAGAUGCGCUGACUGACGAGUGGAUAAACGAGAUAUGGCACACUGUACAAUGGACUGUGACUCGGUGAUUGGAAAAAACUGAACUAAUACCUUUCCUAGCAAAAUGGAUUAACUUGGAGAUGAUCAUACUAAGCAAAUGAAGUCAGAGAAUGACACACAAACAGAGUCACAAGCUUAGAAGACAAGCUCAUGGUCCCCAAAGGGAAGAGGUGGGUGGUGGGGAGGGAGGGAUAAGUUAGGAGGCAGCUGGGAUUAACCUGUACCCAGUGAUACCUGUGAAACAGGUACUCAGAAAGGACCUGCUGUAUGGCACAGGGAGCGCAAUGCUCUGUAAUAACCUAUAUGGGAAAAUAAUCCAGAAAAGAUUGAUUUCAUGUAUAUGUGUAAAUGAAUCAAUUGGCUGUACCCCUAAAAUAAACACAACACUCUAAGUCAACUACUUUCCAAUAUAAAAUAAACAAUCUAAAAAGAAAAAUAAAGACAAGUCAGUGAUACUCCCCUCGGGCCUUGGUGACCCGGGCUGCUCUCACGUCCUUGGAGCCUGAGGAACCCUGGGUCCAGAGGGCUCCACUGUGGUGGAAAUAAAGAGGCUGGGG